Molecule: transfer RNA, 70 nt
Filed under: Dipodomys ordii (Ord's kangaroo rat)
Lineage: Eukaryota; Metazoa; Chordata; Mammalia; Rodentia; Heteromyidae
Rfam family: tRNA
About the family: Transfer RNA (tRNA) molecules are approximately 80 nucleotides in length. Their secondary structure includes four short double-helical elements and three loops (D, anti-codon, and T loops).
Source: Rfam by way of RNAcentral
GGGAAUGUGGCUUAGUGGUAGAGUGCUUGCCUAGCAUGCAUGAAGCCCUAGGUUCGAUUCCUCUUUAUUA